RNAcentral lists this unclassified non-coding RNA (245 nucleotides) under uncultured fungus. RNAcentral's name for it is "partial contains 5.8S ribosomal RNA, internal transcribed spacer 2, and large subunit ribosomal RNA". The stretch from base 1 to 52 matches the Rfam family "5.8S ribosomal RNA", at positions 103 to 154 of the family's 154-position model. Lineage: Eukaryota; Fungi. The record is from RNAcentral.
AACGCACAUUGCACCUGGUGGUAUUCCGCCAGGUAUGCCUGUUUGAGCGUCAUUUCUCUCUCACUCCGGUGGUUUUGCUGUCUAUCAUUCUUUCGGGAAUGUGCAGUGAAAAGAAAUGGCAAGGCUCUAGUUCUUACGAAAUGUUUUAGGUUCUACCAACUACAUUCUCUAAGUUCUAAUCAAGUCGGCUUGAUAAUUCUUUCAAUGUUGACCUCAAAUCAGGUAAGACUACCCGCUGAACUUAA